GUGGGGAAUAUUGGACAAUGGGCGCAAGCCUGAUCCAGCCAUGCCGCGUGAGUGAUGAAGGCCUUAGGGUUGUAAAGCUCUUUCGCCGACGAAGAUAAUGACGGUAGUCGGAGAAGAAGCCCCGGCUAACUUCGUGCCAGCAGCCGCGGUAAUACGAAGGGGGCUAGCGUUGUUCGGAAUCACUGGGCGUAAAGCGCACGUAGGCGGACAUUUAAGUAAGGGGUGAAAGCCUGGAGCUCAACUCCAGAACUGCCCUUGAUACUGGGUGUCUCGAGUCCGGAAGAGGUAAGUGGAACUGCGAGUGUAGAGGUGAAAUUCGUAGAUAUUCGCAAGAACACCAGUGGCGAAGGCGGCUUACUGGUCCGGUACUGACGCUGAGGUGCGAAAGCGUGGGGAGCAAACAGGAUUAGAAACCCCAGUAGUCC
RNAcentral lists this ribosomal RNA (425 nucleotides) under uncultured bacterium. Its description in RNAcentral is "partial 16S ribosomal RNA". It matches the Rfam family "Bacterial small subunit ribosomal RNA", at positions 354 to 796 of the family's 1533-position model. The record is from RNAcentral.